Molecule: long non-coding RNA, 330 nt
Organism: Camellia sinensis
Lineage: Eukaryota; Viridiplantae; Streptophyta; Magnoliopsida; Ericales; Theaceae
Source: RefSeq, a predicted model, not a curated record
UAUUUUUUUUUAACCUAAGGUCCCUCAGUAUGAGCUCUCAUGACAAUGACGAUGAAGAUGAAGAAGAAGGCAGCGAGUCAUGGUUACCAAUGUUGAUAGGACUAGGCUAAAAGACUCAUGAACGCCGGAGAAGAACACACUGGUGUGGACUCUGUUGUACUAAUUAACGGCUCACCCAGUUCCCAUGAAGUUGUUGCAGACCAGAAGUCAUCAUCAGAGGCGAUUUGAAUCCCAACUUCAUUUGUCAAAUUUAAUUUUAGUUUUGCACUUGUAUUUGUUUCUCAACUUCGUUAGUUGCUUUAUGGAAUGGGUUUUAAAAAAAUUGUGAUA